CUACGGGUCGCACCAGUGGGGAAUAUUGGACAAUGGGCGCAAGCCUUAUCCAGCAAUGCCGCGUGAGUGAAGACGGCCUUCGGGUUGUAAAACUCUUUCGCUAGGGAAGAUAAUGACUGUACCUAGUAAAGAAGUCCCGGCUAACUCCGUGCCAGCAGCCGCGGUAAUACGGAGGGGACUAGCGGUGUUCGGAAUUACUGGGCGUAAAGAGUUCGUAGGCGGACUGACAAGUUAGAGGUGAAAUCCCAGGGCUCAACCCUGGAACUGCCUUUAAAACUGUCAGUCUAGAGACCGGAAGAGGUUAGGGGAAUACCUAGUGUAGAGGUGAAAUUCGUAGAUAUUAGGUGGAACACCAGUGGCGAAGGCGCCUGACUGGUCCGGUACUGACGCUGAGGAGCGAAAGCGUGGGGAGCAAACAGGAUUAGAUACCCCAGUAGUC
This 439-nucleotide ribosomal RNA is filed under the name uncultured bacterium. RNAcentral describes it as "partial 16S ribosomal RNA". It matches the Rfam family "Bacterial small subunit ribosomal RNA", at positions 339 to 795 of the family's 1533-position model. The record is from RNAcentral.